AUUGAACGCUGGCGGCAGGCCUAACACAUGCAAGUCGAACGAGUGGCGGACGGGUGAGUAAUGUCUGGGAAACUGCCUGAUGGAGGGGGAUAACUACUGGAAACGGUAGCUAAUACCGCAUACCAUCGGAUGUGCCCAGAUGGGAUUAGCUAGUAGGUGGGGUAAAGGCUCACCUAGGCGACGAUCCCUAGCUGGUCUGAGAGGAUGACCAGCCAGCCUGGAACUGAGACACGGGCCAGACUCACACGGGAGGCAGCAAUGGGGAAGAUUGCACUAUGGGCGAAAGCCGGAUGCAGGCAUGCCGAGUGUAUGAAGAAGGCCUUCGGGUUGUAGAGUACUGUCAGCGGGGAGGCGUUACCCGCAGAAUAAGCACCGGCUAACUCCGUGCCAGCAGCCGCGGUAAUUC
This 406-nucleotide ribosomal RNA is filed under the name uncultured bacterium. Its description in RNAcentral is "partial 16S ribosomal RNA". It matches the Rfam family "Bacterial small subunit ribosomal RNA", at positions 29 to 526 of the family's 1533-position model. The record is from RNAcentral.